GUUUGCUCAGAAGGAAGUUAGACUUUCGAACCGACGGCCCCUGGACAUCAAUUAGAACAAUAAGUGGACAAAUAUAUGGAAAAAACCCAAAACAAAACAAAACAAAACAAAACAAAACAAAACAAAACAAAGGGAUAUCAGCAAACAAAUAAAUGAAAAUGAUUCUGAACGUUAAAGCUAGCCUGGUUUCCAUAAGAAGUGUUUCACUCGAUGGACCAUUGAAAUCAUACAUCAGUUUAUAUUAAUCAGUCAGUUUAUAUUAAAUAUGAAAAGGUUCGAUCGAUGGUUGCUUACUGUAUUGGUUCUAAUUUUACUAAACCAAUUCCAUAAUCUUAUAGUGUCAGAAUUCAUCUUAUA
Paramuricea clavata is the source of this 357-nucleotide non-coding RNA. Lineage: Eukaryota; Metazoa; Cnidaria; Anthozoa; Malacalcyonacea; Plexauridae. The record is from the annotation of a GenBank genome assembly.